UGUAAACAUCCUCGAC
This 16-nucleotide microRNA is filed under the name Chiloscyllium plagiosum (whitespotted bambooshark). Its description in RNAcentral is "microRNA cpl-miR-30a-5p". The record is from RNAcentral. Lineage: Eukaryota; Metazoa; Chordata; Chondrichthyes; Orectolobiformes; Hemiscylliidae.